RNAcentral lists this long non-coding RNA (1937 nucleotides) under Olea europaea subsp. europaea. Lineage: Eukaryota; Viridiplantae; Streptophyta; Magnoliopsida; Lamiales; Oleaceae. The record is from RNAcentral.
CUUAACCCAAAUAUGAAAGGGCAACAAAGAGAAUAAUACAAACAGGUCAACUUUGAUACAUUUUCUAGUCAUUUCUUCUGUUACAUGUUUAAAGCUGAGGCUACAAGGACAACAAAAUGCUCGACCAUUUCUAAAUCUAACAUUCUACAAAUCGAGUGCUUUUACUGGAUGAAAGUAACACUUGAAUACAAGUAACUUACAUUGAAAUGAAUUAUACUACAAAGCAGUAUUCACUUCACAGAACAUCAAGUGCUGCUCAAACUGUAAAUAUCUGCCUCACCAUCUAGAAGUGUCUACGACAUAUAGGGCAAGUACGAACACUCUCUGCUAUCUUGCAAAUUUCGAAUCAAAUUACAUAAGUUAUCUUUAAUUAGCAUUAGCUUCUAUAGUAUUAACGUGGGAGAAAUUGGCUUAUUAGCACAAAACGUCCUUACGUUCCAAAUUUUUGCAUUUUCAUCUCUAUUUCUACGUUUCAUUGCGGAAAACAUCAUUUUCAUCAAUUUCCAUCCAUUUUUUCAAUAAAAAAAAAAUCGUAAAUUGACAAAUAUACCUCCUAUUUAAAUAAAACAAAAAAGAAAAAUAAAGAACAAAUUGCAACUAGACUCCCAAAAUUUUCAAAAAAAUACUAAUAAAUCUCAAAACCAAUUAAAAUAGUAAAUUACAUAUAGUCCAACGUCUUAUCACUCCCUCGUCAAAUUUCAAUUUAGUUUCAUCCUUCUGCUGCAAAAUUUAACCCAACAUGGCAGCGGAAAUAGCCUUAGCCCAUAUCCAAAUUUAACUCCACCAUCAUAAGAAUUGGAAACUCCCGACCAUCAAGCAUCGGAUUUUUUACCAUCACAAUGUCAUCACCCAGUCCUACGCAGCAACUGUAGCCAAGAAAAAAAGGCUAGCAAACAAGAAAUACAUGAAACCUCGUUGACUCCAAGAUUCUACACCAUAGAUUUUGAUGAAAUUGAGAAGCUUUUUAACACAGAAAUCAAGAAGAAUCUGCAGAUGUCUGAGUUUGGGGCUUUAUUGCAGGAAUUCAAUACUGAUUUCUACCAAACUCAUUUUGUAAGGAAGAAGGAGUUCAAUCAGGUUCAAAGAGUGCGCGCUGCACAUGAACUGGGCAGAAAUUCUGGGUCAUACGUUGGGAUAAUUAAUAAUUUCAUAUGUGGGUUUCACAUUUGAUUGUAAAUUUUACGGGUUAGAUGUAUGACACAUAAUGAUAUUUGUGUUUGGACCAAAUUUAUGAAGUGAUCAAUUGAGUCUUUUACACCUUAUAUGUUGUAAUUAAUUUGAUGUGGUAAUUUAAACUAUGUGGGGCGAAAAUAAACCCUAAUUAAAAUUCUAGUCGUAAUGGGACGGCUCAAUUAUUUCCUAUAUAAAGGUUAGGUCCCCUCUUCUCUCUAUAAGUUUUUUAUUGGCUAGCCCCAUUAAUAGUUAAUACUUUGUGAGGAGCAAGGAGGGAAGGAUCUUGACUACUAUUACAACUAUCAUUCAUAUCAACAAUGUCUUUCGCGGGUAUGAAUUCGUUUCUAUUAAUUUAUUGGAUUGUGAUUAUUGAUUCUUAACAUGAUUAAAACUAAAUAUUAACAAUUGGUAUCAGAGCAACAUGCUAAGAUCGAAAUCCUUCAUGAAUUUUUUUUCUUAUCUCACUUUGAAAAACAUCUUCUGUGCAUACAUUAAAAUUAUAUGUGUCAUUGAAUUAAUUCGUAUUUCCUUCACGUGGUUGAGUAACCCACAAGCAGAAACCAUAAAUGCUCUCUCUCUCCCCUCCUUUUAUAUAUUUAUAAUGUAGGAACCAUAAAUGAUUUCCCCCUCUUCUCCUUUUAUAUAUAUAUAAUGCAGGAACCAUAAAUGCUUUCCCUCUCUCUCCUCCUUUUAUAUAUAUAUAUAUAUAGCCCUUCGGGGCAUAGUUCAGUGGUGUAAAGGACAGGAGUGAGGUUACCCCACGC